CGCUAACGUGACAGCGCUUCCGGUUCGGGUGCCGGCGGUGCCGCCGCUCCCUCGGCGGGCGGAGUGUGGGGCUCGGGCACCCGGCGGCAUCGGGGCGGGCGCUGGGGCCGCGCGGCGCUGCCGCUGCUGCUCCGGGCUGCUGCCGGGGCUCCCGUGCCGCCGGCCGUGCGCGGGAGGGCGGUGCGGGGAUUUCCCCGCGCUGAGGGGAACCGGCCCCGGCGCCUCCCGAACCCGCCGCUCCGGCGCUGCCAGGGAGUUUGUGAUCAAUUAAAAAGAUGCCUUGUAUUCUCGGAGUGGUGCAUUCUACCUCUGCUGUUUUUCCUGCUAGUCUGGAUCCUCUGCUUAGAUUUUUUUUUUCUUCCUAUUUUAGAUGCCCUGGCUGUGGUGGAUGUCCCGGUUGAGGGCAGUGAUGGCUUUCAUGAAGAAAUCUUUAAAUGAAGACGGGAUUACCCAAACCUUUCCCUUCCCUGCUGCACUAGAAGCCAGGAAUAUCCUGUUGCUUCAGUCUGAAAACGGAACAGUUUAAAAAUCACGAGGAGGUGAGCAAAGAACCUGCUGUGCCCCUGGAUUCUGCAUUUACCACUUUGCUAAAGAGAGCCUAUGAGAGAGGAAGCAAUACCCUACUGGAAGGUGGUGUUCAGACAAAAUUGGCUUCCUGGCUCCCACCUGACCAGCUUUUGUUGGGAGUAAAGCAUGUGCUGUUAUACCUGAAAUCCACAGUGGAGAACUUCAGCAGGCUUGGUAAAACUUUGGGUCCUCAGCUUGUUGAUCUCUGUGUGGACCUGCUGAGCAUCUUGUUGUGCCGGGACAAUGAAAUAAAGCUGGAGCAGCAGCAGAAGCAGGAGGAGCAUCAGGCUGAUGGGAUCUCUUCAUGGAUGAGGAGCCUCUGAUGACAGAAGUGUCUUCAAAUGACAAGACCCUGGAGGAUGCACUCACCUUGAUUUUCAGACAUCCUGCACUGGAGAGCUGGUUCCUGGCGUUGGAGCUGCGCUCUAUUCCUCAG
RNA transcript from Oenanthe melanoleuca, 1003 nucleotides. It is a transcript of the gene named nucleolar pre-ribosomal-associated protein 1-like, with no coding region annotated. The transcript has 4 exons. The record is from RefSeq and is a predicted model, not a curated record. NCBI's taxonomy places the organism in Eukaryota, Metazoa, Chordata, Aves, Passeriformes, Muscicapidae.